GCGCCCGUGGUGAAAUGGAUAUCACAGCAGCCUUCGAAGCUGUUUUUGUAGGUUCGAGUCCUGCCGGGCGCA
This 72-nucleotide transfer RNA is filed under the name Minisyncoccota bacterium. RNAcentral describes it as "tRNA-Arg". It matches the Rfam family "tRNA". From Rfam's summary of the family: Transfer RNA (tRNA) molecules are approximately 80 nucleotides in length. Their secondary structure includes four short double-helical elements and three loops (D, anti-codon, and T loops). The record is from RNAcentral. Lineage: Bacteria; Bacillati; Minisyncoccota.